UACGUAGGGUGCAAGCGUUGUCCGGAAUUAUUGGGCGUAAAGAGCUCGUAGGCGGCUUGUCACGUCUGCUGUGAAAACUUGGGGCUCAACUCCAAGCCUGCAGUGGAUACGGGCAGACUAGAGUAUGGCAGGGGAGACUGGAAUUCCUGGUGUAGCGGUGAAACGCGCAGAUAUCAGGAGGAACACCGGUGGCGAAGGCGGGUCUCUGGGCCAAAACUGACGCUGAGGAGCGAAAGCGUGGGGAGCGAACAGG
RNAcentral lists this ribosomal RNA (253 nucleotides) under uncultured bacterium. Its description in RNAcentral is "partial 16S ribosomal RNA". It matches the Rfam family "Bacterial small subunit ribosomal RNA", at positions 524 to 776 of the family's 1533-position model. The record is from RNAcentral.